UACGGAGGGUGCGAGCGUUAAUCGGAAUCACUGGGCGUAAAGCGCACGUAGGCGGUGUCGUAAGUCGGAUGUGGAAGCCCUCGGCUCAACCGGGGAACUGCACUCGAUACUGCGAUGCUUGAGUGCCGGAGAGGGUGGCGGAAUUCCAGGUGGAGGAGUGAAAUCCGUAGAUAUCUGGAGGAACACCGGUGGCGAAGGCGGCCACCUGGCCGGCAACUGACGCUGAGGUGCGAAAGCGUGGGGAUCAAUCAGG
RNAcentral lists this ribosomal RNA (253 nucleotides) under uncultured bacterium. Its description in RNAcentral is "partial 16S ribosomal RNA". It matches the Rfam family "Bacterial small subunit ribosomal RNA", at positions 524 to 776 of the family's 1533-position model. The record is from RNAcentral.